GUCGUGCAUUGGAAACUGGCGGACUCGAGUACAUGAGGGGAAAGCGGAAUCCUGGUGUAGCGGUGGAAUGCGUAGAUAUCAGGAAGAACACCGGCGGCGAAGGCGGCUUUCUGGCAUGUAACUGACCCUGAGGGACGAAAGCGUGGGUAGCGAACAGGAUUAGAUACCCUGGUAGUCCACGCUGUAAACGUUGUGCGCUCGAUGUGGGACCUGUCGUUUCGGCGGGUUCCGUGUCCAAGCCAACGCGUUAAGCGCACCGCCUGGGGACUACGGUCGCAAGGCUAAAACUCAAAGGAAUUGACGGGGGCCCGCACAAGCGGUGGAGCAUGUGGCUUAAUUCGAGGCAACGCGAAGAACCUUACCUGGGUUUGACAUUGAGCGACCGGUGCAGAGAUGCA
RNAcentral lists this ribosomal RNA (398 nucleotides) under uncultured bacterium. RNAcentral describes it as "bacterial SSU rRNA". It matches the Rfam family "Bacterial small subunit ribosomal RNA", at positions 618 to 1010 of the family's 1533-position model. The record is from RNAcentral.